AAGAGAAGCUGAGGACCCCGCACGCUCCCCAGCGCAUGGAGCUGAAGCCACGACCCCAAGGAUCCCAUCCAAGAAACCCUAUUAUGUUCAGUCAUCAGGUCUCCUUGGGCUCCUCUCGGCUGUGAUGGUUUCUCAGACUUGCCUUGUUUUUGAUGACCUGGGCAGUUCUGAGGCGUGCUGGUCAGGUGUUUUGCAGAAUGUUCUUCAGCUGGCAUUUGUUUGCUGAUUUUCCUCAUGAUGAAACUAGGGUCACGGGUUUGGGGGAAGAAAACCACAGGGAUAAGGGGCCAUUCUCGUCACAUAUCAAGGGCACAUACUGUCACCAUGACUUCUCGUUGCUGACGCUGACACUGACCCCCUGGCUGAGGCCGUGUUGGUCACUGUCCAGUUCCUCCUUUGGCCCUUUCCACGCUGUCCUCUUUUGGAAGGAAGCAUAUACCUCUCUGCACAGCACACACGGAAGGGCUGGGGAGUGAGGCUCCGCUCCCUGGAGGCUGAGUGUCCACCUGAUUCGGGAUUCGUCUGCACAGUUCGUCUGUCCUCCCUCGUUUGUGUCCCUCUCCAGUCACCGCUUUCCAGCGCUAUGGACUCAGGGAUACUUCCUUGAGGCGCUGGGUUAUCAUCCACUACUACUUCAUUCUGUUGCUCAGGCCUUUCCAGAUGUGGCCACUGGAGGCGCUUUCCAUUGGCUCCUGCGUCCCUCUGAUCUAUCUCAUCGCUGUGCUUUUGUGGAGCGCAUCCUUCUGAUACGAAGACGCGCCAGACUCCAGCUGUAUAUUCCCUGUCCUCGCCCUGCAAUCAGUCAUUUCUCCCAGGAGCCCUGGUUUCUCUCAUGACACCACGGUGUUAAAAAUGAAUUCUGUGGAGUUCCCCGGUGGCCAAGCGGGUGGGAAUCCAGUGUUGUCACCACUGUGGCUGGGGUCACUGCUGUGGCACAGGUUUCAUCCUUGGCCCAAAAGACCUCUUAGGAAUACAGACAUUAAAAUGACUUACUGUGUGCCACAAUGACUUGCCGCUGUGCCACAGUGGGAACUCCAGUAUCUGCUCUUUAAUUUUACUUCCUUGUGUCAAAGGCUGAAAGAUCUAAUCCUUUUUUUCUAUUGCAAUUCUAUUAAA
RNAcentral lists this long non-coding RNA (1116 nucleotides) under Sus scrofa (pig). RNAcentral describes it as "lncRNA (ENSSSCG00030066299.1, ENSSSCG00060077457.1)". The record is from RNAcentral. Lineage: Eukaryota; Metazoa; Chordata; Mammalia; Artiodactyla; Suidae.